Molecule: long non-coding RNA, 1016 nt
Filed under: Durio zibethinus
Lineage: Eukaryota; Viridiplantae; Streptophyta; Magnoliopsida; Malvales; Malvaceae
Description: long non-coding RNA (DZIB_LNC001928)
Source: RNAcentral
AAAGUCGGACAAAAAAUUAAAAAAGAGAAAAGUUAAUGCAAAAUAAAAAAAAGUAUGAGAAUUUAAAAGCGCAAAUAAGAAAUGAAAGGAAAUUUGUGGGAAAAAAAUAGAAUAGCAAGAAAAGAAUAAAAAUAAAAAGACAAAAGAUUUGGAAUAAAAAACAAAACAACAAAAAAAUUAAAACAAGUAAAAAUGAAAGCAUAUGAAAAAAAAAAGCAAGAAGAAGGAAAUUUGUGAAGGGAAAAAGUUAUUAAAAAAAUUACAAAGUAGAAAAAAAAUAAGAAAAUAAAAAAGAUUCGAAAAAUAAAAAAAAUUGAACUUUAUAAAAAUUUUUUAGAAUAUAAAUAAAAAAUAACUGAAAAAAUAAAUUAAGAGAAAAAAUUAAAUAAAAUACCAAAAAAGGAAAAAAUAAAAAUAAACAAAAAAAAAGUAACAAAGUAAGAAAAUAAAAAAUUCGCGAAUCAAAAAAAUAUAAUGAAACAAAAUGAAUAAAAAUUUCAAAUAUAAAAUGGAAAAAUCUUUUAGUUUAGAAUGUACAAAAAAAAAAAAUAGCAAAGAGAGGACAAAGAUAUAAAAUAUGAAAGAUGAAAAAUAAAAUAAAAGUUAAUAAAAAAUAUAAAUAAAAAUAAAAGAAAGUGACAAAAAGAGAAGUUUGAGGUUUUAAAAUUAUAAAGAAGAAAUAAAAAAAAAAGUGUGAACAAAAAGAUUUAAGAAAAAGCAAGAAAAAAAUAAAAAAGGAAAAUACAAAAUACAUAAAAUAAAUUUUGACAAAAAAAUGAGAAAAAGAAGAAAAAAAUAAAAAAUGAAGAGGCAAAAAUAUGAAAGAAAAGAAAAAGAAAAAAAUUUAUGGAAACUUUUAAAACAAAGGAAAAAGUGAACAAAAAAAAAUGAAAGCACAUAAAAAAAGAAUAAAAAUUUGAAAGGGGAAAAAGUUAAUGAAAAAUUAUAAAAAUGCAAUAGAAAAUAACCAAGAAUGAUAAAAGAAAAAAAGAUAGAAAAAUAAAAAAUUCCAAAAC